UACGAGGGGGAGCAAGCGUUUGUUCGGAUUUACUGGGCGUAAAGGGCGCGUAGGCGGCGUGACUAGUCACUUGUGAAAUCUCCGGGCUUAACUCGGAACGGUCAAGUGAUACUGUCGUGCUAGAGUACAGAAGGGGCAACUGGAAUUCUCGGUGUAGCGGUGAAAUGCGUAGAUAUCGAGAGGAACACCUGCGGCGAAGGCGGGUUGCUGGGCUGAUACUGACGCUGAGACGCGAAAGCGUGGGGAGCGAACAGG
This 255-nucleotide ribosomal RNA is filed under the name uncultured bacterium. Its description in RNAcentral is "partial 16S ribosomal RNA". It matches the Rfam family "Bacterial small subunit ribosomal RNA", at positions 524 to 776 of the family's 1533-position model. The record is from RNAcentral.